This 153-nucleotide ribosomal RNA is filed under the name Erodium texanum. RNAcentral's name for it is "4.5S ribosomal RNA". Lineage: Eukaryota; Viridiplantae; Streptophyta; Magnoliopsida; Geraniales; Geraniaceae. The record is from RNAcentral.
GAAGGUCACGGCGAGACGAGCCGUUUGUUUUAGAGUGUCAAAGUCUUGAGAAUUCAGGCGCGGCCCGUCCUUUAGAGCAAAACAAAUAGGUGUCAAGUGGAAGUGCAGUGAUGUAUGCAGCUGAGGCAUCCUAACAGACCGGUAGACUUGAAC